AUGCUUUACACAUGCAAGUCGAACGGCAGCGCGAGAGAGCUUGCUCUCUUGGCGGCGAGUGACGGACGGGUGAGUAAUAUAUCGGAACGUGCCCAGUAGCGGGGGAUAACUACUCGAAAGAGUGGCUAAUACCGCAUACGCCCUACGGGGGAAAGGGGGGGAUCGCAAGACCUCUCACUAUUGGAGCGGCCGAUAUCGGAUUAGCUAGUUGGUGGGGUAAAGGCUCACCAAGGCAACGAUCCGUAGCUGGUUUGAGAGGACGACCAGCCACACUUGGGACUGAGACACGGCCCAGAGACCUCCGGGAGGCGGCAGUGGGGAAUUUUUGACAAUGGGGGAAACACUGAUCCAGCCAUCCCGCGUGUAUGAUGAAGGCCUUCGGGUUGUAAGGUACUUUUGGCAGAGAAGAAAAGGUAUCUCCUAAUACAAGAUACUGCUGACAGUAUCUGCAGAAUAAGCACCGGCUAACUACGUGCCAGCGGCCGCGGUAAUACGUAGGGUGCAAGCGUUAAUCAGAAUUACUGGGCGUAAAGCGCGUGUAGGCGGUUCGGAAAGAAAGAUGUGAAAUCCCAGGGCUCAACCUUGGAACUGCAUUUUUUACUGCCGAGCGCUAGAGUAUGUCAGAGGGGGAGAGAAUUCCGCGUGUAGCAGAAAAAUGCGUAGAUAUGUGGAAAUAUAGAGGGCGCAGGCAGCCCCCUGGGGGAUAAUAGUCACGCUCAGACACGAAAGUGUGGGGAGCAAA
This 742-nucleotide ribosomal RNA is filed under the name uncultured soil bacterium. RNAcentral's name for it is "bacterial SSU rRNA". It matches the Rfam family "Bacterial small subunit ribosomal RNA", at positions 44 to 772 of the family's 1533-position model. The record is from RNAcentral.